This 71-nucleotide transfer RNA is filed under the name Chloroflexi bacterium CFX6. Its description in RNAcentral is "tRNA-Gly". It matches the Rfam family "tRNA". From Rfam's summary of the family: Transfer RNA (tRNA) molecules are approximately 80 nucleotides in length. Their secondary structure includes four short double-helical elements and three loops (D, anti-codon, and T loops). Lineage: Bacteria; Bacillati; Chloroflexota. The record is from RNAcentral.
GCGGAUGUGGUUCAAGGGUAGAACAGCGCUCUGCCAAGACGCUGGUACAGGUUCGAGUCCUGUCGUCCGCU